Long non-coding RNA from Cyprinus carpio carpio, 1874 nucleotides. The record is from Ensembl. NCBI's taxonomy places the organism in Eukaryota, Metazoa, Chordata, Actinopteri, Cypriniformes, Cyprinidae.
GAUCGUUCCUCUGGUUCUGGUUCUUCUGGUUCUGAUCAUCGUUGGUCUCUUAUUUCUGUUUCUCUGUAAGAAGCAUCAGUCUCGAGCAGGCGGUGAUUCAUUAUCUCAGACUAGAGCAGGAAAACAUGAAGUGGUUUCUCACACUGCUUGUGAUUAUGAGGAGAUUCAAGACUCUCACAAACAAUUACCUACACACCCCUCUGAUUCAUCUAACACUGUUUAUGCCACAGCUCAGUUACCCACAAACCCCUCUGAUUCUCCUGACACUGUUUAUGCCACAGCUCAGUUACCCACAAACCCCUCUGUUUCUCCUGACACUGUUUAUGCCACAGCUCAGUUACCCACAAACCCCUCUGUUUCUCCUGACACUGUUUAUGCCACAGCUCAGUUACCCACAAACCCCUCUGUUUCUCCUGACACUGUUUAUGCCACAGUUCAGAAAGACACUGGUGACUCUCAGAUCUUGAUCACAUCUGCUGAGGACCCGAAUUACUCCGUGGUGAAUUUCCAGAAGAAAGCAGACUGUCCUGACAGUGUUAGAUUGAGGAAUAAUCAGGAUUACAGUGAAUAUGCUGCUGUCAAUCAUCUCACUGACUGACGACACACAGCAGAUAAUCUCAUUGAACUGAAAGCUUUGAUUUUGGUUUCAGGCUUCCAUGUUUCGUAUUUUUGUUAUUUUUGUGGCUCUCCUCUGCUGUAUAUUUAAGACAGUCUUGCAGGUCAAACUUUUGACUGUCGACGUGAAGGAUGUUUAAAUGACAGAGCAGUGUUUUGUUCUGCAAAGAAAUGAUCAGAAACCCUUGAGUUUUUGGUCUGCAUUUGAUGUAAAUAAGUUCUGAAUAUUUCUGAGACAAAAGAAUAUGUGUCUGUGAUCAGUUAGUUUGGUUAACGUUAAACUACACGUCUGGCUACCUGCGGUUCUUGUGAAACUUUUAUUAAGUCUCAGUGUUUAAAAGUUCUCAAACUUUUACACAUGCAGCAGCUAUUGCUUUUUUUCCUCAGUGUUCAUUUUAAAAGCUUGUUAACUUAGAAAGGAAAAUUUAGUAAACCAAGAUGAAGUCAUGAUAUUGUAUUCAAAUAUGAUAUGAAUGGACUAUGGAAAGCUGAAAUGAUCAAAAAGCAAAACUUCUGUCCUCUGAGAUGAAGUGUGAGAGGGAGUUAUUUUGGUUAAAUAUUACCUGAAUGUAUAUGAGUACAUGAAUGAGUGAGUACAUUAAUUAAAAAAAUAAUAAUACUGAUGAUGUGCACAGAUAAAUAUUUUAUAAUGAAUACUGCAAUGUUCCAUAAAAAAGAACAGUGCAUUUUGAUUUCAAAGCUAUUUUAAUCAAUCAGCAAUGUGCUUAUUUGGUCACCAUGGUAACCGCUGAUGGUUGCAAGUUUUUCCUCUAGAUGUCGCUGUCAAUUUACAGUCUUUGAGAUUCUAGUCUGAAUAAAAAUUCUGGGUAUAUUUUUGUAGAAAUAUCUCAAAUAAUGCUUUGAAAACAAAUUUGAAUUGUCAAACGUCCAUGAGUCUUGCAUGUUUAUCUGAACAUAUAUUAUCAUAUCUUCUCUUUUUAUCUCUCUCUCUCUCACUUCCGGUGUGUUUGUUGAGCGUGAGCAGAUGGAGUGGUGCGAGUGUGGGUGGUGACUGUGAGUGAAUCAUUUUUCUUUUCUUUUUUUCUUGCUUAAGUUUUUGUCUUAGGCAUUACACGAGGAGUUGGCCAAGAUGGCGCUCUGACUAUUUUGAAGAAAAGCCCCAGCACCAACUCUGCCCUGCCAGGCCCCAGCACCAACUCUGCCCUGCCAGGACCCACCACCAACUCUGCCCUGCCAGGCCCCAGCACCAACUCUGCCCUGCCAGGCCCCAGCACCAACUCUGCAUAGUCAGAUACAGG